CGGACGGGUGAGUAAUGUCUGGGAAACUGCCCGAUGGAGGGGGAUAACUACUGGAAACGGUAGCUAAUACCGCAUAACGUCGCAAGACCAAAGAGGGGGACCUUCGGGCCUCGCGCCAUCAGAUGAACCCAUAUGGGAUUAGCUAGUAGGUGAGGUAACGGCUUACCUAGGCGACGAUCCCUAGCUGGUCUGAGAGGAUGAUCAGCCACACUGGGACUGAGACACGGCCCAG
Molecule: ribosomal RNA, 232 nt
Filed under: uncultured bacterium
Lineage: Bacteria
Description: partial 16S ribosomal RNA
Rfam family: Bacterial small subunit ribosomal RNA
Source: RNAcentral